UACGUAGGGUGCAAGCGUUAAUCGGAAUUACUGGGCGUAAAGCGUGCGCAGGCGGUUUUGUAAGUCAGAUGUGAAAUCCCCGGGCUUAACCUGGGAACUGCGUUUGAAACUACAAGGCUAGAGUGUGACAGAGGGGGGUGGAAUUCCACGUGUAGCAGUGAAAUGCGUAGAGAUGUGGAGGAAUACCGAUGGCGAAGGCAGCCCCCUGGGAUAACACUGACGCUCAUGCACGAAAGCGUGGGGAGCAAACAGG
RNAcentral lists this ribosomal RNA (253 nucleotides) under uncultured bacterium. RNAcentral describes it as "partial 16S ribosomal RNA". It matches the Rfam family "Bacterial small subunit ribosomal RNA", at positions 524 to 776 of the family's 1533-position model. The record is from RNAcentral.